This 543-nucleotide ribosomal RNA is filed under the name Aqaballianassa brevirostris. Its description in RNAcentral is "partial large subunit ribosomal RNA". It matches the Rfam family "Bacterial large subunit ribosomal RNA", at positions 1885 to 2625 of the family's 2925-position model. The record is from RNAcentral. Lineage: Eukaryota; Metazoa; Arthropoda; Malacostraca; Decapoda; Callianassidae.
GUCUGGUUGAAUUCAAAAAUCAGUCUGACCUGCCCACUGAUAUUUUUUUAAAAGGCCGCGGUAUAAUGACCGUGCAAAGGUAGCAUAAUAAUUAGUUUUUUAAUUGAAAACUGGUAUGAAAGGUCGGACAAAAAGUGAACUAUCCCAAAACUUAUAAUUGAACUUAACUUUUAAGUGAAAAGGCUUAAAUAACCUUAAAAGACGACAAGACCCUAUAAAACUUUAUUUAAAAAUUAACAUUUCUUAAAUUAUAAGUUUAUUAAGAAUAUUAUUUUUUGUGUAUUUUGUUGGGGCGACAGAAGUAAAUAUAAACCUGCUUUUUUCUUAUAUACAUUUAUCUUUGUUUAUAGUGACCCUUCAUUAGAAGAUUAAAAGAAAAAGUUACUUUAGGGAUAACAGCGUUAUUUUUUUUAAGAGUCCUAAUCGACAAAAAAGUUUACGACCUCGAUGUUGAAUUAAAGUUCCUUUACAGUGCAGCAAUUGUAAAAGUAGGUCUGUUCGACCUUUAAAACUUUACAUGAUUUGAGUUCAAACCGGCGUGGG